This 460-nucleotide ribosomal RNA is filed under the name uncultured bacterium. RNAcentral describes it as "partial 16S ribosomal RNA". It matches the Rfam family "Bacterial small subunit ribosomal RNA", at positions 338 to 795 of the family's 1533-position model. The record is from RNAcentral.
CCUACGGGUGGCUGCAGUGAGGAAUAUUGGUCAAUGGACGCAAGUCUGAACCAGCCAAGUAGCGUGAAGGAUGACUGCCCUACGGGUUGUAAACUUCUUUUAUAAAGGAAUAAAGUGAGGCACGUGUGCCUUUUUGUAUGUACUUUAUGAAUAAGGAUCGGCUAACUCCGUGCCAGCAGCCGCGGUAAUACGGAGGAUCCGGGCGUUAUCCGGAUUUAGUGGGUUUAAAGGGAGCGUAGAUGGGUUGUUAAGUCAGUUGUGAAAGUUUGCGGCUCAACCGUAAAAUUGCAAUUGAUACUGGCAGUCUUGAGUACAGAUGAGGUAGGCGGAAUUCGUGGUGUAGCGGUGAAAUGCUUAGAUAUCACGAAGAACUCCGAUUGCGAAGGCAGCUUACUAAACUGCAACUGACAUUGAUGCUCGAAGGUGUGGGUAUCAAACAGGAUUAGAUACCCGUGUAGUC